Long non-coding RNA from Tyto alba (common barn owl), 6556 nucleotides. RefSeq lists it as uncharacterized. NCBI's taxonomy places the organism in Eukaryota, Metazoa, Chordata, Aves, Strigiformes, Tytonidae. The record is from RefSeq and is a predicted model, not a curated record. The transcript has 10 exons.
UACGGAACCCCCCCCAAAGCCGAGCGGCCCCCCCCGGCCCCCCGCAGUAGCGGCUUGCCGGAGCCCGCCCGCCGACACCUCGCCGCGGCCCGGAGUCUGGACCAGCUGCUUUGAAGAGAGCUUUCGAAUGAAUGACUAGGGUGUGAAUUUCUAAGACUGUUGAUGGGAACAGAAGAAGGAACAGAUGGUGGCACCAUCCUGUCUCGGCACCAAAUACUGCCCUGGAGUUCUACAUGGUGCAGAAAGCAUCCCCGUGUGGAGAAGCAGAUAGUGCUUCUGCAAAGUAUCAGCAUGGUGGAUUUUAUGGUGGAUUUCUACAGCUGAGGGACAACUGUCUGUGAAUUUUCAGGUUCACCUCCGACGGUCUCCAUCUCACAGGGCCCUGUUAGAAAGCAGCGAGCAGCAAGAGGAAUCGGGCUGCAUAAGCACCUGCCAGGCCCUAAACUCAGGAAAUCCAGGACCAGACUUCUUUUCAGUCUGAAAUACUCUGAUUGGGCUCUCAGACACUCAGUGGAGUGAAAGCAAACAUUAUGAAAAUGUGCAGGUGGUAAAACACUGGCUGCCAUGAACUUCAUGUUAAAAAAAAGAAGAAAAAGCUGUGGUUUGGAGCCUGCUAGAGCUGCUAGAUAGCAAACUGCAAGCUUGUAACGUUGUGACUGCUGAAAUCACUACAAGGAUAAUAGGGCAUGCAUGCAUUUGUGGAUAAUUCUGUUUGCUAAUUGCUCAUGAAAUUUCAGUUUGAAAGUGAAAAAGGGAAUCUUCCAGGUGGCUGCAUCUUGAAAACCAGGUGCUGCUGUGAUUCCUUCCUGCCUGAACUUGCCACACUACUCGAAGGGACUGGCCAGGAUUUAACUCCAGUCUUCCUGGUCCAUUAUGCAGCAGCCCUCUGUGUAUGAGAAGUACAACUACCAAACAAAAAUGCCAAAAAGGAAAAAAAAAAAAAAAAAAAACAAGGAUGGCCUGAUCUACCCCAGAACAACGAAUGGACAUUAAAACCGAGCUCAGGAUACCUCAACCUUGUAAAACUUCUUUCUUGGAUCUUCUGAAGAAGAAAUUCCUCUCGGCUCUCCUCAGUCUGAAAUACGCUUCGCUGGCUCAGGUUGUGGAUAGGAUUCCGAUGAGAUGGUCUAGUAAAGUCAGGCUGUCCAGUGGGGCCUGCUGGGGAGCGGAUAAAACUGCAUUUGUCCCAGACCUUUCCACAAGCAUUUACUGCACCUCUUCAGUGUCUCAUUUGGGCACGAUGCUGGCUGGGUGUUCAGCAAGUGGCUGGCGACACCGGUAUGACUGGAAGAUGUUUGUUCAUUCUUUCUUACAUCUGCCAGCAACGCCCCACUGCCACCAAGGGGGCAGAUUCAGCUUCUAGAGACGUGCCUUUCCCUGGGAGCUGCAAGGGUACACGGACGGGUGGCUAACUUCCUCCUGAGUCCAGAAUGAAUUAAUGUAAUGGUCAGCCAGGUGAGAUGGGCACCACGAAAUAACCCCGUUCCGUGAGUAGCAUAGGCCUGACAGAAAUAGGUGGGAGAGCAACUGGCCUCCAGCUCUCUCACCAUCUUCCAGCACUUGCAAAAAAAAAAAAAUAAAAAGCAAGGCAAAGAUGGGCAAAGAUGAUAGUUUAUGUGCAGCUCAGGAAACUCUCGGAAAUGAAUGUGUCUGUGAUUUAAUAACACAUCUACACAAAACGACACUUCUCCUAAUAUUCACCCAGAGAAAGAAGGCAGAGCAGUGUGGGGCCAUAACCAGCACACAAUGCACUACUACUGCAACAACGAACAGCUAAACUACCAGGUAUUUAUUUUUCAGUAUGCACAAUUGUUGGAGGAGAAUGAAAAUUAUUCUUUGACACUGACGGAGACAUAGAAAGCCCUGUGCUUCCCCUAGCUCCUGUGGUCCUGACAAGAAACAACUCACAAAUUCUAAUAAAUAGAAAAUAGAAAUAAAUACUCUAACUAUAUGGCAUAGGGUUUUGAAUGGCUUUCUGAAUCAGAAAGUGCUGCUCGUACGUCUUCGUUAUUUCUACACUCUGUAAUGCUGGCUCUCCAAAAGUCAGAGACAAAGUGAGAUAGAUACUACAAGGAUCACAGACACUACACUGGGAAACCAAGUAUCAAUGGUACGUCCAGAUUUAUGGUAGGUGAUGGCAGUAAAGUGAAAGCAAAACUGUUUGCACAGUCUGUAUUGUUGCCCAUUACUGUGUAUUUGCCCUUUUUUCUUGCUUAGCUACAGCUGAAAGAAUGGAAAAUUGUACCUUAUAUACAGUAUUAGGAGACACGUUUUGAUCGUAAGGUCAAUCAGACUAGUUUACCCGCUUGAGGUCUUUAUGGCACAAUCACUCAGUGUCUUUAAGGAAAGGUUAGAUACAUUUAUGGGAAAGGUAUUUUGCAGAAGCCUUCCUGUUUCAUAGAGGUCUUGGACAAAAUGACCCAGGAGGCCCCUUCCAAGUCUAUCAAAUGUGGUUCCUUGAUUGAUGCUGUUUCCCCCCCAAGUCUUUUCAAAACACAAAGCACUGUUAUAAAAUUUAAUAUGAUACACUAUAUAACUUUAACACAAUGCCAUUUCCUUAUAGGAAAUGGUUAGCUGGUAGCACAGGAGCCUUGCGCAAAAGGAAGAAAAUAAGAAAAAAGAAAUUGUAGUGCAGUUUCUCUGCCAAGGGAUAUUGACUAUAACAUUUACGCUGUUUCUCGGUAUGGACCCUCAUCUGUGCAGAGGGACACCAAGUCAUGGAGGCAUAUAAGUACCCCAGACUGUAGUAUAUAUUUUUCCAGAAAAACCUAGCAAGGCCUGAGGUAAUUUUCUAUGCUGUGCAGUAAGCAUUCCCUCAAAGCUGGAAAGCAAAAGGACACCCAGAUCUCCUUAUACAUAACUGCCUGGUGCUGUAAUCUGCUGGGAAUAACGUAGAGCUGCCUGGAGGCAAGAAACGGGAGUGUCCAGCGCCCCUCUGCACGCCCCCGGGGCCAUAACACAGGCAUCCCCUCCACCUGUGCUCCCAAACCCUUCCCUGGUUACAAACGGCAAGAAUGAAAACGACGCAAAAAUGAGAAGAGGCUCAGAAAAGCCUGUUCUGUAAUUAAUCACCCUCUCUAAGAUGGCUUUGUCCCAGCCUGCUACCAUUCGUGCAGCCAUCAUGCAGCAGUUGGAGCAAACCCCCUGCCAGCUCCACACCCAAAAAGCUGCACUUCUAAAUCCCUCUGACGAGAGCAGCAAAAUCCCCAGGUAACGUGUUUGUCCAUGGACUAAAGACUGUAGCCACAUUUUCCCUUACCUGAAUACACGGUGCUGCUUCAGAGGAAGAUCUGCUUCUUUAAGGAGUGGCCAGCAUGCGUCACAGCAUUGAGGCUUUCUUGAGGCUGGUGGUCCAGCAAGCCGGCAGCGGUUAGCAGAGAAGCAUUCAGUGAGGACGAGUGGUGUGUGUGGUUUGUUCUUCAGACAGAAUGCUCUCCGGGUCUCAUUGACCCUUUUUCUUUCGAUGUGUUAACGUAUUUAAAAGUUUGAGUCAACUGAAUGAAAUUUCUAAAAAACAACCAACCAGCCUCUCUGGGACAUUCGGUUGAAAUGCUGUGGUUGGCCUCCUCUGCGCUGUAGUAAGUCUUAGUUUUAGGUUCUCGCAGGGAAAAAAAAAUUUAAAAUACCCAGAACUUUAUUGAAUUUGGGUUUACUCUCAAAAACAUUUUACACUAACCUUUUUAUUUUCACUCCAGCUGAUUCAUUUAAAGGCCAAACUUCUCUUCAAAAAACAGGCCCCUGCUCCCGUCUUCUUGGGACAGCUCUGCCAGGAAAUAACAGCAUCCAUCCAUACGCACACACUCCAGAGGCUUCUGAAGUCUCACAAAGGUGAGCUGCUCCCCCUUGCAGGGCAAGCUGGGAUUAGCUCUUUUAUUAACCUUCUAACCUCAUCCCCAAGAAAGAAAAAUAGCCUAACCUUUUUUUUUAUUUAUUUUUUUUAUUUGGAAGCUUGCAGCCUCCUUUACCCAAACAUUUGUGAGCUCAAACACCCUACAGACGGGAGCAAAAUGAGGACUGUUGGUGGUGCUUUCCAGGAGGAGCUCCCUGAAGGCCCUUUUGGACCCUCCCAUUACAUUGUACUCCAUGUCAGUGGCUAUCCCUAAAAGCUUGUGUUUUCACUUUACAAUACUUUCCCAUUACCAUGAGUCUUGGGUCUCUCCAUUUGAAUCAUAUUUUGGGGAGAAAAUAAUAACCAUUUACUCCUUUUCAACAUCUUGCAUCAAUGUAUUUUCCCGAUUCCUACGUCAAAGAAAUGACUUUUAGCAAAACGAAAAAUUUGACCUGGCUUCAGUCCUGACAGCACUGCAAUUUCUCAUCCUUGGCUCUCACUUCAUCCCUGCGUCACAGUGCGGAGUAAGACACUCGUGUCAGGAUAGCUUUUCUCACUGGAGUCACAAUGGUAAAAAUGAGCCUCAGCGAGUGACACGAGCAGAAAUUUCAAAGGCAGCAAAAUUUAUCUCCUGCUCUUUGUCUUACAGUAUGGUGCAUUUUAGUGGUUGGAAGAUUUAGCUUCCAAGCAUCCCAUAUAUAUAAAUCCCAGUGGACAACAGCUCGCCAGCUUCUUUUUUAGGGCGGUUGAGCUCAACAGCUAGAAUCUGCCAGGGAACGAGGGUUGAGAGAAGGAUGGAGAAAACCUUUCCUGUAGCCUUCAGGUGUUGGUCAAGGGCCAGGAUGAGGAAACAGCCAAAGCAAAACAAAACUCUCUCAGCUACAUCUCCUCGGGUAUGUGGCAUAAGGACCAUGAUCUGGGGCCAGCCCUGCCGCUCCUCUGCUGUAGCUUAAACCAUUAACUGCUUUGCUGAUACGGUCCCUCUUGGGGGUUUCUCCUUCUGAAAGAUUUAUACUUGGCUUAAAUCUAAUACGAAUACUCCACUUUAGCUUUUAGGAGGCCAAGACCCUUAAAAGUCUCGGAUGGGCAGGACAAGCGAGGAAGGCAAAAUCUCUCUCCUCAGGUCCCUUGCGAAAGUGCUCAAACACCGCUCUGCUGAGAGCUCCCCAGCUGCUGCGCUGGGUAAAGGGAUGCCUCUCAGCUCUGACGUGCAGGGAUGCCCUUCACACUAACAGGCAGGGGGAAAAAGGCAGUGGGAAGAGCAAAAGGCACCUGAAUAAAAAGGCAGGCCAUGAUGGAUCCAGCUGAAUUUUAUGGCCUUCUCUGAUCUCCGGACAUGGGAAAACCCAUUCAGCAUCUUGGAUCUCCAGCCUGGGCUGUGUGCGGCCUUAACUGUGCCACAAAGGAGAGAUGGUUUGCUCUUGUUGCCUCCUCCAAAGAAAGCUGUUACUAUGAAUUCUUUGAGGCCCAGGAACUCCAUUUCCCAGCUUUCAGUUAAUACUGCAAUGAUUAUACAUAAAUAAUAGUAACAAUAAUCAUAAUAAUACCUGGCUUGCCAUUAUGUUGUACUCAGUCUUUGCGAUGCCCCUCUCACGAUAAAAAUCUGUGUACUAAACACUUUAAUUGAAACUCUUAAUCAAACAGAGAUAUUUCCUCUUGUGCAGUUAUAGUCACAUAAUGAUCACAGAGCACCUUACAGAAUCAAAUAAAAGUAGCCAGCCUGAUCCUUGCAUAGAAGGAAACACCAUUAUUGGGCGUCUUAGUAGUAUAUAACAAUGCUGUCACAUAGACAAUUAAUUGUCAAACAUACCUUAUUUUAGGAUUUAUGCUGGCCAAAUAGCAUCCAGAACACUUGGGUUUUAUCCUUAAGCUUGUUCUAAAAACCUCUCAUGCCAUCACAAGAGGGGACUGGACGGUCUUGCCUGAUAGACAGGAAGAGCAGCCCGCAGACAGGAGGGCUAGUGAGCAGUCGUGCCUCAUUAUCAAGAGCCCUGGUUCAGAAGGAAAAAAGAAAAAAGGUUAUAAUUUUCCUGAUUCAGAAAAAAAGCCACGGAAGUCUUGAUGUGCCAUAGUGCUGAGUACUGAGCAGCCUCCAUAGGGUCACUGAGAGAGGACAAGGCAAAACCCAGCAGUACGAACGCUAACGCUAAAUGAUGCCUCCCGAGGUCUGGAAGGGGUCUCCAGCUUUGGACCUUCUAAUAGGUAGUUCUGGAGCUACGAGACGACAAAGAGCUUUGUUCCCUCUUGUAUAAUUGAUAAAUUACCAUUGUUAGUACUAAACAAUGCUACCGAGCAAGAAUGGAAACACGCUAAUGCUUUAUCCAUCUUAAGCAAUUCUGCUCAUGUGCUCAUACUGUUCUUAAAUGUGCUAGAUAUUUGUUUGACGAAACAAUAAGUUUUAGAAAAGAGAAAAAUAAGAACUUUAAAGAUAAUCAAAACCUUGACUACAUACUUUACCACAGGCAGCUGUGAAUAAGCUUCAAUACUCUUUAUUUUUAACAUUCCAGAUAUGUAAUUUAAUGCAGGUCUAAUGACAGUCUCGAACAUACUGCUUUAAUCGAAAUUGUUCAAGCUCUGUUCUGUGACAAGGGCUCACAAGCUACCAGCAGGGUUGUCCAUUUUCCCCACUUCUGUAAGGAAAAGAAAAGGGAGGGGAGGGGGACAUUCUUGAACUUAUGUUGCUAUUGAUGUGUAAUAUACAAUAAAAAAAUAGUUAAAUUUCAAUUA